UUGCGUGGCUUAAAGUAGGAGAAGCAGAGCUAAUUACAGGAUAAUCUAAUUUCUAUACAUAAUAUUACAGCCAAAUACAGGUAUAAAAUGGAAAAAUGAGGCUAUAAUAUAUGGGAUAUCUAGAUCUACACAUAACUUAAAUGGGUUACAAAAUCUGACAGCCACAGUUUAGCAUUUACAAGGAGCAAGGCAGCUUGCACGGUUGGUUCCUCCAUAUUUGGAACUUAUCUUGGCAUGCUUGUCCAUAAAAGUGAACCAACUUUUAGAGCUGACAUGCAAGACAAGGUGUGGAAGACUUGCAUGUUGACACUCUUUGCGAAACGAGCAAAUCAAGAAAUGGAUUGAAAGAGUGCCUAUGAAGGACUGUCUACGAUGGAGGAUGAGGAGCGAUUUAGUUGAAUGAGCUUUGUCCUAGAUGCUCUGACAUUCUUGAGUGUCAUCUUCAGUUUUUGCCUUUCACCUUCAACCUCAGCAAACUGGAGGCUUAACUGAGAGUACCGAUCAUGCAUUUCCCUCAGUUCAUUCUCCUUAGCUACUUGCUUUUCUUUGAUUUCCAACAUUUCUUUGAUCAACUCAUUGAUGUCUCUGAAGCUUUUGAAGAUUGCUUCAUCGUCACUAUGUUGUUUCAGAAACGAACUCUGGAACAUACUCGGUUUAUUUUUUGCCUUUAAUGCUUCAGCAAGCUCAAUUUCCAGGGCAAGUACCCUCUCCAAUGCAUUACCAGUGGUAGCUGUAUCCUUGAAUGUUGGGAACAUGCUUCGGAGCUCUUCAUUUGCCUUGUGUAAUUGGACCAGUUCGCUCUGAAAAAUUUCAAAGCCUUGAUCAGAAUAAUGGUCCUCAGGGAUGAGAGAGUUUUCACGUUUCAUCCUUUCCAACUCUUCAUGUAGAUGUUCCAUGCUAGACCUAAAAUUCCUGCUUGCAAACUGUUCACUGCUGAAAUCUAUAUGUCUUCCGUUGCUGGGUGGUGAGUAACCUUCUUGAGGUGCAUCGCCAGUUGUUGCAUGAACACCUACUGAUGCAGCAUCCGGACUGAGUGGAAGUUUCACUGGCGAGCUUGAUUCUUCACUUCUAUCAUCCAUAAAUAAGGUUGUUUCCUUCACAUUCCAAGCAUCAGAUGAAUCCUCUCGAGGUGUGGCAUCAGGAGAAG
RNAcentral lists this unclassified non-coding RNA (1147 nucleotides) under Hevea brasiliensis (rubber tree). The record is from RNAcentral. Lineage: Eukaryota; Viridiplantae; Streptophyta; Magnoliopsida; Malpighiales; Euphorbiaceae.